UAAUUUAUUUGGGGCUGAUCCUCGUCUAGCUAUGACAGACCCACACUUAACUGCUCAGAAUCAUCUGUUAUUGCAAAUCUGACUACAUUAUUAACAUUGAAAAAAUAGAAGACAAUUACUGUAUGAACAAUAACUUUUUGA
Molecule: non-coding RNA, 141 nt
Organism: Populus trichocarpa (black cottonwood)
Lineage: Eukaryota; Viridiplantae; Streptophyta; Magnoliopsida; Malpighiales; Salicaceae
Source: Rfam